This 740-nucleotide ribosomal RNA is filed under the name Bacillus subtilis. Its description in RNAcentral is "bacterial SSU rRNA". It matches the Rfam family "Bacterial small subunit ribosomal RNA", at positions 38 to 758 of the family's 1533-position model. The record is from RNAcentral. Lineage: Bacteria; Bacillati; Bacillota; Bacilli; Caryophanales; Bacillaceae.
UGGAGAGCGCUCAGCCUAUACUGCAGUCGAGCGGACAGAUGGGAGCUUGCUCCCUGAUGUUAGCGGCGGACGGGUGAGUAACACGUGGGUAACCUGCCUGUAAGACUGGGAUAACUCCGGGAAACCGGGGCUAAUACCGGAUGGUUGUUUGAACCGCAUGGUUCAGACAUAAAAGGUGGCUUCGGCUACCACUUACAGAUGGACCCGCGGCGCAUUAGCUAGUUGGUGAGGUAACGGCUCACCAAGGCGACGAUGCGUAGCCGACCUGAGAGGGUGAUCGGCCACACUGGGACUGAGACACGGCCCAGACUCCUACGGGAGGCAGCAGUAGGGAAUCUUCCGCAAUGGACGAAAGUCUGACGGAGCAACGCCCCGUGAGUGAUGAAGGUUUUCGGAUCGUAAAGCUCUGUUGUUAGGGAAGAACAAGUGCCGUUCAAAUAGGGCGGCACCUUGACGGUACCUAACCAGAAAGCCACGGCUAACUACGUGCCAGCAGCCGCGGUAAUACGUAGGUGGCAAGCGUUGUCCGGAAUUAUUGGGCGUAAAGGGCUCGCAGGCGGUUUCUUAAGUCUGAUGUGAAAGCCCCCGGCUCAACCGGGGAGGGUCAUUGGAAACUGGGGAACUUGAGUGCAGAAGAGGAGAGUGGAAUUCCACGUGUAGCGGUGAAAUGCGUAGAGAUGUGGAGGAACACCAGUGGCGAAGGCGACUCUCUGGUCUGUAACUGACGCUGAGGAGCGAAA